This 242-nucleotide unclassified non-coding RNA is filed under the name Hevea brasiliensis (rubber tree). The record is from RNAcentral. Lineage: Eukaryota; Viridiplantae; Streptophyta; Magnoliopsida; Malpighiales; Euphorbiaceae.
AUUAGUGUAGGACCUGGCAACCAAAAGUAAUUCUUCUCGCCCUCUCCUUCUCCAUCGCCACCCUUUUCACCGCCUCUUUCAAGCCACGCGUCCGUAGAAAACCUCCCACUUUUGUCUCAAGAAUUUACUACUCCUGCAACUUCCGUCUCCAUUUUCAUUGGACCGUCCGCAUCCUGAUCAAAUGGAUCCUACGAGCUCAUGCCUUCAAGACCUGUAAGCAAUUGAUCUUCCUAACCUUUUCC